UUCAGCUCUACAGUAUGCACUCUGGGAUCUC
RNAcentral lists this non-coding RNA (31 nucleotides) under Homo sapiens (human). Lineage: Eukaryota; Metazoa; Chordata; Mammalia; Primates; Hominidae. The record is from RNAcentral.